RNAcentral lists this ribosomal RNA (450 nucleotides) under uncultured bacterium. RNAcentral describes it as "partial 16S ribosomal RNA". It matches the Rfam family "Bacterial small subunit ribosomal RNA", at positions 354 to 796 of the family's 1533-position model. The record is from RNAcentral.
GUGGGGAAUUUUGGACAAUGGGCGAAAGCCUGAUCCAGCCAUGCCGCGUGCAGGAUGACGGCCUUCGGGUUGUAAACUGCUUUUGUACGGAACGAAAAGACUCUGGUUAAUACCUGGGGUCCAUGACGGUACCGUAAGAAUAAGCACCGGCUAACUACGUGCCAGCAGCCGCGGUAAUACGUAGGGUGCAAGCGUUAAUCGGAAUUACUGGGCGUAAAGCGUGCGCAGGCGGUUAUAUAAGACAGAUGUGAAAUCCCCGGGCUCAACCUGGGAACUGCAUUUGUGACUGUAUAGCUAGAGUACGGCAGAGGGGGAUGGAAUUCCGCGUGUAGCAGUGAAAUGCGUAGAUAUGCGGAGGAACACCGAUGGCGAAGGCAAUCCCCUGGGCCUGUACUGACGCUCAUGCACGAAAGCGUGGGGAGCAAACAGGAUUAGAAACCCCUGUAGUCC